RNAcentral lists this ribosomal RNA (417 nucleotides) under uncultured bacterium. RNAcentral's name for it is "bacterial SSU rRNA". It matches the Rfam family "Bacterial small subunit ribosomal RNA", at positions 340 to 749 of the family's 1533-position model. The record is from RNAcentral.
UACGGGGAGGCAGCAGGUGGGGAAUAUUGCACAAUGGGCGCAAGCCUGAUGCAGCCAUGCCGCGUGUAUGAAAAAGGCCUUCGGGUUGUAAAGUACUUUCAGUCGUGAGGAAGGUGUUAAGGUUAAUAACCUUAGCAAUUGACGUUAGCGACAGAAGAAGCACCGGCUAACUCCGUGCCAGCAGCCGCGGUAAUACGGAGGGUGCGAGCGUUAAUCGGAAUUACUGGGCGUAAAGGGCACGCAGGCGGUUAAUUAAGUUGGAUGUGAAAUCCCCGGGCUUAACCUGGGAAUGGCAUUCAAGACUGGUUAGCUAGAGUCUUGUAGAGGGGGUAGAAUUCCAUGUGUAGCGGUGAAAUGCGUAGAGAUGUGGAGGAAUACCGGUGGCGAAGGCGGCCCCUGGCAAAGGACUGACGCUCA